UCCCAUCUCCCAAAUCUCGUAUUGCUUCCCGGCUCCCCUUCCCUUUGAUCUCCGGGGAUCGGAAUCUGGGCCAGGCGGAAAUAUCGGUGUCGAGCGACACGGGAGGCGCGGGGAAGAAGCUCCCCAGGCGGCUCGGUGGCAUGGCCGAAGCCCUCGCCAUCGCGUCCGAUCUUGGCGUCCCUAUACCUCCCGUCCAGGAUUGGAUCAUUGCUAGAUUGCAGCAACCAUAUUCUUUAGACUGAAUUCCUGUGGAAGCUGAAUAUCAGUCCAGAAACAAUUCUCAGAAUUAUUGUUGAAGGCUGCUAGUGAUUAUGGAGCUCUGACAGCAGCAGUUGCUGAUUUCCAGUGGUGCCAGAAUUUCAAAGAAUCACCUAGAGUUUGGGGGAUCCAAUUUUCUGUUUGGACCAAUGGAAGUGAACAUAUCAGAAGAGCCAAGAGAUGUAGCUGGGAAAUGACAACUUAAACCUUGUACUUCAAUCUAAAUUGGUUGAAACAGGCAGCUUUGAUUGGUUUGGGCCCUGUUUGUUGUGUUAGUCCCAAAUCAGGUGUUUGGAUACCAGUCCCUGGUUGGAUCAAUACUUAUCAUAUGGUAUGAGCAAAAUCAAGCAGCAAAGCAAUCCAAAGGCCCAAUGCCAUGUUAGACUGGGUGGCAUGGAUGUUUCACCCGGAUGUCAUUGUUUUGGACAAAUUUAGAGGAAAUGCUGCAUCCUAUUCCUGCUGUCCUAGCAUCAUGUACCCGCUUCUUCGAAGCCAUGUCUGCUAUGAGGGAUUCAUUUGCAACCCUCCAACAGUUUCGUGUCAGUAACUCUUCCUUGCCGACAACACCUAGUGACUCUUCGUGAGGGGAUUCCAGUUAUGUUACGCCUCCCCAUUGGAGGGAAGGCAUGACAAGCUCGGAUGAUUCGAUGGUCGACAGUUGGAGGUAGCAAAAUGCAGAGGGCCAUCCAGUGGAGGCGACACAUGAUAUUUUGGUCAAAGGAGGUUGUCUUGGCCAUCCUUAGUCAAGAUGGGUCUGUCAGUUGUGGCUUUACCAUUUUUGUGUUGGACUGAUUGAAGAUUCAAUGAAGAAAAGGUAGAACUUGUAAGAUCAGCAGACAAAUCAAGUAACCGAAGAAGAUGUCAAUUUUACAUGCUACAGAGUUAUUUUAUGGAAUGCAAAUGCUCUUACUUUUUUAUUAUAGUCGAAGCAUGUAAUGUAGUCAAUAUAGCUUUCAUAUGGGUUUCUCUCAAACUAACCAUAUUGGAAUUAUCCUUUGAGCAACUGUUUGUAUAGUAGUAAUAUAUUUUAGCCA
Long non-coding RNA from Musa acuminata AAA Group (dessert banana), 1292 nucleotides. RefSeq lists it as uncharacterized. NCBI's taxonomy places the organism in Eukaryota, Viridiplantae, Streptophyta, Magnoliopsida, Zingiberales, Musaceae. The transcript has 5 exons. The record is from RefSeq and is a predicted model, not a curated record.